This 529-nucleotide ribosomal RNA is filed under the name uncultured bacterium. RNAcentral describes it as "bacterial SSU rRNA". It matches the Rfam family "Bacterial small subunit ribosomal RNA", at positions 777 to 1304 of the family's 1533-position model. The record is from RNAcentral.
AAUAGAUACCCUGGUAGUCCACGCCGUAAACGAUGAGUGCUAAGUGUUAGGGGGUUUCCGCCCCUUAGUGCUGCAGCUAACGCAUUAAGCACUCCGCCUGGGGAGUACGGUCGCAAGACUGAAACUCAAAGGAAUUGACGGGGGCCCGCACAAGCGGUGGAGCAUGUGGUUUAAUUCGAAGCAACGCGAAGAACCUUACCAGGUCUUGACAUCCCGUUGACCACUGUAGAGAUAUGGUUUCCCCUUCGGGGGCAACGGUGACAGGUGGUGCAUGGUUGUCGUCAGCUCGUGUCGUGAGAUGUUGGGUUAAGUCCCGCAACGAGCGCAACCCUUGAUCUUAGUUGCCAUCAUUUAGUUGGGCACUCUAAGGUGACUGCCGGUGACAAACCGGAGGAAGGUGGGGAUGACGUCAAAUCAUCAUGCCCCUUAUGACCUGGGCUACACACGUGCUACAAUGGACGAUACAAACGGUUGCCAACUCGCGAGAGGGAGCUAAUCCGAUAAAGUCGUUCUCAGUUCGGAUUGUAGG